UUGACCUCGAAUCAGGUAGGAAUACCCGCUGAACUUAAGCAUAUCAAUAAGCGGAGGAAAAGAAACCAACCGGGAUUACCUCAGUAACGGCGAGUGAAGCGGUAACAGCUCAAAUUUGAAAUCUGGCUCCUCUGGAGUCCGAGUUGUAAUUUGUAGAAGAUGCUUUGGGUUGUGGGUUCGGCCUAAGUUCCUUGGAACAGGACGUCAUAGAGGGUGAGAAUCCCGUAUGUGGCCGAGGCCCGCGCCUAUGUAAAGCUCUUUCAACGAGUCGAGUUGUUUGGGAAUGCAGCUCAAAAUGGGUGGUAAAUUUCAUCUAAAGCUAAAUAUGGGCCAGAGACCGAUAGCGCACAAGUAGAGUGAUCGAAAGAUGAAAAGCACUUUGGAAAGAGAGUUAAACAGUACGUGAAAUUGUUGAAAGGGAAGCGCUUGCACCCAGACUUGGGCGCUGCUGAUCACCUUGCGGUCUCCGCGAGUGCACUCGACAGCGCACAGGCCAGCAUCGGUUCGGGUGGCUGGAUAAAGGCCGUAGGAACGUAGCUCCCUUCGGGGAGUGUUAUAGCCUACGGUGCCAUGCAGCCCAGCCGGACCGAGGACCGCGCCUUCGGGCUAGGAUGCUGGCGUAAUGGGUGUAAGCGACCCGUCUUGAAACACGGACCAAGGAGUCUAACAUCUAUGCGAGUGUUUGGGUGGCAAACCCAUACGCGGAAUGAAAGUGAACGUAGGUGAGAACCCCUUUG
This 737-nucleotide ribosomal RNA is filed under the name Erysiphe nyctaginacearum. RNAcentral describes it as "eukaryotic LSU rRNA". It matches the Rfam family "Eukaryotic large subunit ribosomal RNA", at positions 1 to 749 of the family's 3401-position model. Lineage: Eukaryota; Fungi; Ascomycota; Leotiomycetes; Helotiales; Erysiphaceae. The record is from RNAcentral.